GGUGGCGGACGGGUGAGUAAUGGUAAGGAAUCUACCCCAAAGUGGAGGAUAGCUCGUCGAAAGACGGGGUAAACCUGCAUAUGACCGCAAGGUCAAAGGGCGUAACUGCCUGCUUUGGGAGGAGCCUUACUCCUAUCAGCUUGUUGGUGGGGUAAAAGCCCACCAAGGCUAUGACGGGUAGCUGGUGUGAGAGCAUGACCAGCCACAAUGGCACUGAGAUACGGGCCAUACACCUACGGGUGGCAGCAACUGGGAAUCGUCGGCAAUGGGCGAAAGCCUGACCGCGCGACGCCGCGUGAGGGAUGAAGUAUUUCGGUAUGUAAACCUCUUUUGCCAAGGUAAACACAACUUGGAGAAUAAGCAUCUACUAACUACGUGCCAGCAGUCGCGGUAAUACGUAGGAUGCAAGCGUUAUCCGGAUUUAUUGGGCGUAAAGGGUCGCGUAGGCGGCCCACCACAUCUCACUUUAAAUGGUUCCGCUCAACGGAAUCCUGGGUGAGAGAUGAGUGGGCUAGAGGACCGGUGGGGUUUCUGGAACUUUCGGUGUAGCAGUGAAAUGCGUUGAUAUCGAAAGGAACACCAAGAGCGUAGGCAAGAAACCAACCGAAACCUGACGCUGAGGCACGAUAGCUGGGGGAGCGAAGCAGAUUAGAGACCUGCGUAGUCCCAGCCGUAAACGCAUGAGUGCUAGUUGGUCCGAUUUAUUCGGGCUGACGUAAGUUAACACGUUAAGCACUCCGCCUGGGGAGUACGGCCGCAAGGUUGAAACUCAAAGGAAUUGGCGGGGACCCGCACAACCAGUGGAGCAUGUGGUUUAAUUCGAGACGAAGCGAAAGACCUCACCACGGUUUGACAUGUUAUCGUUUUAUUCCGGCAGAAACGUCGGGAGAUCCGCAAGGAUGAUAACAAAGCUGCUGCAUGGCUGUCGUCAGCUCGUACCGUGAGGUGUUCCCUUAAGUGGGGUAACGAGCGCAACCCUUGUCGUUUGUUAAAUAUUCAAACGAUACGGUCCCGUAGUAUUACGGGAAGGAAGGUGGGGACGACGUCAAGUCAGCACGGCGCUUAUGCCGUGGGCCACACACAUCCUACAAUGGCGAAAAACAACGAGUCGCAAGACGGUGACGUCAAGCAAAUCUCUGAAAUUUCGUCUCAGUUGGAAUUGAAGUCUGAAACCCGACUUCAUGAACUAGGAAUUGGUAGUAAUCGCGGAUCAGCAGGUCGCGGUGAAUACGUUCUCGGGUCUUGCACACACCGCCCGUCAAGCCAACAAAGUCGGGGGUAGCCGAAGCUCCGAUUUAUCGGAGUGAAGCUAAACUCGGCGAUGGGGACUAAGUCGUAACAAGGUA
This 1346-nucleotide ribosomal RNA is filed under the name metagenome. RNAcentral's name for it is "bacterial SSU rRNA". It matches the Rfam family "Bacterial small subunit ribosomal RNA". The record is from RNAcentral.